Molecule: ribosomal RNA, 468 nt
Filed under: uncultured bacterium
Lineage: Bacteria
Description: partial 16S ribosomal RNA
Rfam family: Bacterial small subunit ribosomal RNA
Source: RNAcentral
GACGAACGCUGGCGGCGUGCUUAACACAUGCAAGUCGAACGGAAAGGCCCUGCUUUUGUGGGGUGCUCGAGUGGCGAACGGGUGAGUAACACGUGAGUAACCUGCCCUUGACAUUGGGAUAACUUCAGGAAACUGGGGCUAAUACCGGAUAGGAGCUCCUGCUGCAUGGUGGGGGUUGGAAAGUGUCGGCGGUUGGGGAUGGACUCGCGGCUUAUCCGCUUGUUGGUGGGGUAGUGGCUUACCAGGGCUUCGACGGGUAGCCGGCCUGAGAGGGUGACCGGCGACAUGAGGACUGAGGGACGGCCCAGACGCCAACGGGAGGCAGCAGUGGGGAAUAUUGCACAAUGGGCGGGAGCCUGAUACGGCGACGCCGCGUGCGGGAUGACCGCUUUCGGGUUGUAAACCGCUUUCGCCUGUGACGAAGCGUGAGUGACGGUAAUGGGUAAAGAAGCACCGGCUAACUACGUG